AGAGUUUGAUCAUGGCUCAGAUUGAACGCUGGCGGCAGGCCUAACACAUGCAAGUCGAGCGGUAGCACAGAGAGCUUGCUCUCGGGUGACGAGCGGCGGACGGGUGAGUAAUGUCUGGGAAACUGCCUGAUGGAGGGGGAUAACUACUGGAAACGGUAGCUAAUACCGCAUAAUGUCGCAAGACCAAAGUGGGGGACCUUCGGGCCUCAUGCCAUCAGAUGUGCCCAGAUGGGAUUAGCUAGUAGGUGGGGUAACGGCUCACCUAGGCGACGAUCCCUAGCUGGUCUGAGAGGAUGACCAGCCACACUGGAACUGAGACACGGUCCAGACUCCUACGGGAGGCAGCAGUGGGGAAUAUUGCACAAUGGGCGCAAGCCUGAUGCAGCCAUGCCGCGUGUGUGAAGAAGGCCUUCGGGUUGUAAAGCACUUUCAGCGGGGAGGAAGGCGGUAAGGUUAAUAACCUUGUCGAUUGACGUUACCCGCAGAAGAAGCACCGGCUAACUCCGUGCCAGCAGCCGCGGUAAUACGGAGGGUGCAAGCGUUAAUCGGAAUUACUGGGCGUAAAGCGCACGCAGGCGGUCUGUCAAGUCGGAUGUGAAAUCCCCGGGCUCAACCUGGGAACUGCAUUCGAAACUGGCAGGCUAGAGUCUUGUAGAGGGGGGUAGAAUUCCAGGUGUAGCGGUGAAAUGCGUAGAGAUCUGGAGGAAUACCGGUGGCGAAGGCGGCCCCCUGGACAAAGACUGACGCUCAGGUGCGAAAGCGUGGGGAGCAAACAGGAUUAGAUACCCUGGUAGUCCACGCCGUAAACGAUGUCGAUUUGGAGGUUGUGCCCUUGAGGCGUGGCUUCCGGAGCUAACGCGUUAAAUCGACCGCCUGGGGAGUACGGCCGCAAGGUUAAAACUCAAAUGAAUUGACGGGGGCCCGCACAAGCGGUGGAGCAUGUGGUUUAAUUCGAUGCAACGCGAAGAACCUUACCUGGUCUUGACAUCCACAGAACUUUCCAGAGAUGGAUUGGUGCCUUCGGGAACUGUGAGACAGGUGCUGCAUGGCUGUCGUCAGCUCGUGUUGUGAAAUGUUGGGUUAAGUCCCGCAACGAGCGCAACCCUUAUCCUUUGUUGCCAGCGGU
RNAcentral lists this ribosomal RNA (1126 nucleotides) under Klebsiella pneumoniae. Its description in RNAcentral is "bacterial SSU rRNA". It matches the Rfam family "Bacterial small subunit ribosomal RNA", at positions 8 to 1125 of the family's 1533-position model. The record is from RNAcentral. Lineage: Bacteria; Pseudomonadati; Pseudomonadota; Gammaproteobacteria; Enterobacterales; Enterobacteriaceae.